Molecule: ribosomal RNA, 468 nt
Filed under: uncultured bacterium
Lineage: Bacteria
Description: partial 16S ribosomal RNA
Rfam family: Bacterial small subunit ribosomal RNA
Source: RNAcentral
GACGAACGCUGGCGGCGUGCUUAACACAUGCAAGUCGAACGGAAAGGCCCUGCUUUUGUGGGGUGCUCGAUUGGCGAACGGGUGAGUAACACGUGAGUAACCUGCCCUUGUCUUUGGGAUAACUUCAGGAAACUGGGGCUAAUACCGGAUAUGAGCUCCUGCUGCAUGGUGGGGGUUGGAAAGUUUCGGCGGUUGGGGAUGGACUCGCGGCUUAUCAGCUUGUUGGUGGGGUAGUGGCUUACCAAGGCUUUGACGGGUAGCCGGCCUGAGAGGGUGACCGGCCACAUUGGGACUGAGAGACGGCCCAGACUCCUACGGGAGGCAGCAGUGGGGAAUAUUGCACAAUGGGCGGAAGCCUGAUGCAGCAACGCGGCGUGCGGGAUGACGGCCUUCGGGUUGUAAACCGCUUUCGCCUGUGACGAAGCGUGAGUGACGGUAAUGGGUAAAGAAGCACCGGCUAACUACGUG